ACUAUAUAUAUGUGUGUGCAUGUUCAUUUUAGGCCAUGAUGCCAUUGUUACUCUGCUGAAACACUACAAACCACCUCAGGAUGGUUCACCCUGCAAUGAAUAUUCUCAACCAGGAGGGGAUGGAUCUUAUGUUUCUGUUCCUUCUCCCCUGGGAAAGAUCAAAAGUAUGACUAAAGAGAAGGCAGAUGUGCUUCUCCCUGAGAGCAAGUCUUCCAUCAAAUUUCCACCUUCAACUUUCUGAACUGGAGUUUAAGGAGAUUAUUGGAUCAGAUAUGUCAAUUCAAUGAUAAAUAUUAG
Long non-coding RNA from Cyprinus carpio (common carp), 297 nucleotides. RefSeq lists it as uncharacterized. The transcript is spliced from 3 exons. NCBI's taxonomy places the organism in Eukaryota, Metazoa, Chordata, Actinopteri, Cypriniformes, Cyprinidae. The record is from RefSeq and is a predicted model, not a curated record.